Molecule: ribosomal RNA, 198 nt
Filed under: uncultured bacterium
Lineage: Bacteria
Description: partial 16S ribosomal RNA
Rfam family: Bacterial small subunit ribosomal RNA
Source: RNAcentral
ACGCUCGACACCUACUGGAGGCAGCAGUGGGGAAUAUUGCACAAUGGGGGAAACCCUGAUGCAGCGACGCCGCGUGGAGGAAGAAGGUCUUCGGAUUGUAAACUCCUGUUGUUGGGGAAAAAGAGGAUGGUACCCAACAAGGAAGUGACGGCUAACUACGUGCCAGCAGCCACGGUAAUCUGAGCGGGCUGGCAAGGC